RNAcentral lists this long non-coding RNA (214 nucleotides) under Elaeis guineensis (African oil palm). Its description in RNAcentral is "long non-coding RNA (EGUI_LNC000750)". Lineage: Eukaryota; Viridiplantae; Streptophyta; Magnoliopsida; Arecales; Arecaceae. The record is from RNAcentral.
AGACGGUAUCCAUUGUGAAAGUAUGUCAGCAAGCCUCUGCAAUAUAUUCAUAUUGAUUGUGUGAGACCAAGCACAUGGAACUAUUUGUCAAACAGCAUAAACUUCAUAUCAUGCUUUUGCUGUAUGGAAAGAAUUAUCCUAAACUUUAUUUAGAUUUAGGCAUGUGCAUGAGUCCAUGACAUAGCAAUGAUGUGCUUUUCGGUAGAUGCCUCCC